GACGAACGCUGGCGGCGUGCCUAACACAUGCAAGUCGAGCGAAUGAAGUUCCUUCGGGAAUGGAUUUAGCGGCGGACGGGUGAGUAACACGUGGGCAACCUGCCUCAUAGAGGGGAAUAGCCUUCCGAAAGGGAGAUUAAUACCGCAUAAGAUUGUAGUAUCGCAUGAUACAGCAAUUAAAGGAGCAAUCCGCUAUGAGAUGGGCCCGCGGCGCAUUAGCUAGUUGGUGAGGUAACGGCUCACCAAGGCGACGAUGCGUAGCCGACCUGAGAGGGUGGUCGGCCACAUUGGGACUGAGACACGGCCCAGACUCCUACGGGAGGCAGCAGUGGGGAAUAUUGCACAAUGGGGGAAACCCUGAUGCAGCAACGCCGCGUGAGUGAUGACGGCCUUCGGGUUGUAAGGCUCUGUCUUCAGGGACGAUAAUGACGGUACCUGAGGAGGAAGCCACGGCUAACUACGUG
RNAcentral lists this ribosomal RNA (464 nucleotides) under uncultured bacterium. RNAcentral describes it as "partial 16S ribosomal RNA". It matches the Rfam family "Bacterial small subunit ribosomal RNA", at positions 28 to 507 of the family's 1533-position model. The record is from RNAcentral.